This 1573-nucleotide ribosomal RNA is filed under the name Nocardioides agariphilus. RNAcentral describes it as "Bacterial large subunit ribosomal RNA". It matches the Rfam family "Bacterial large subunit ribosomal RNA", at positions 1 to 1481 of the family's 2925-position model. The record is from Rfam by way of RNAcentral. Lineage: Bacteria; Bacillati; Actinomycetota; Actinomycetes; Propionibacteriales; Nocardioidaceae.
CGACAAGCUAUGAAGGGCGUAUGGUGGAUGCCUUGGCAUCAAGAGCCGAUGAAGGACGUAGGAGCCUGCGAUAAGCCCUGGGGAGUUGGCAACCGAGCUGUGAUCCGGGGGUGUCCGAAUGGGGAAACCUGGCUGGAGUCAUGUCCAGUCACCUGCACCUGAAUGAAAUAGGGUGUUGGAGGGAACGUGGGGAAGUGAAACAUCUCAGUACCCACAGGAAGAGAAAACAAAAGUGAUUCCGAGAGUAGUGGCGAGCGAAAUCGGAGGAGGCUAAACCGCGUGCGUGUGAUACCCGGCAGGGGUUGCGUGCGUGGGGUUGUGGGGUUUGUGCGACCAGUGCUGCCGUGCUGGUGCGGAGUGAGAAACUCAUCGUGAAGUUGAAGUCCGUUGGAAAGCGGUGCCGGAGCGGGUGAUAGCCCCGUAGACGUAAGCGGUGGGCUCUGUUGUGCAGAUACCCGAGUAUCACGGAACUCGUGAAAUUCCGUGUGAAUCUGGCGGGACCACCCGCUAAGCCUAAAUACUCCUUGAUGACCGAUAGCGGACAAGUACCGUGAGGGAAAGGUGAAAAGUACCCCUGGCGGGGAGUGAAAUAGUACCUGAAACCAUGCGCCUACAAUCCGUCAAAGCUUUGGCCCUUGUGGUUGGGGUGAUGGCGUGCCUUUUGAAGAAUGAGCCUGCGAGUUUGUGUUGUGUUGCGAGGUUAACCCGUGUGGGGGAGCCGUAGCGAAAGCGAGUCCUAAUAGGGCGUUGAGUAGCAUGAUCAAGACCCGAAGCGGAGUGAUCUAUCCAUGGGCAGGUUGAAGCGACGGUAAGACGUCGUGGAGGACCGAACCCACCUAGGUUGAAAACUGGGGGGAUGACCUGUGGAUAGGGGUGAAAGGCCAAUCAAACUCCGUGAUAGCUGGUUCUCCCCGAAAUGCAUUUAGGUGCAGCGUUGCGUGUUUCUUGCCGGAGGUAGAGCACUGGAUAGCCGAUGGGCCCGACCAGGUUACUGACGUUAGCCAAACUCCGAAUGCCGGUAAGUGAGAGCGUGGCAGUGAGACUGCGGGGGAUAAGCUCCGUAGUCGAGAGGGAAACAGCCCAGACCAUCAGCUAAGGCCCCUAAGCGGUGACUAAGUGGAAAAGGAUGUGGAGUCGCAGUGACAACCAGGAGGUUGGCUUGGAAGCAGCCACCCUUGAAAGAGUGCGUAAUAGCUCACUGGUCAAGUGAUUCCGCGCCGACAAUGUAGCGGGGCUCAAGUCAUCCGCCGAAGCUAUGGCAUCCACACGAUACCCAAGCCGCCUCCUUGUGGGGUUGGUUCAGGGGUGUGGGUGGGUAGGGGAGCGUCGUGUCGCCGGUGAAGGUUCGGAGUGAUCCAGGGCUGGAGGCGACACGAGUGAGAAUGCAGGCAUGAGUAGCGAAUCACGGGUGAGAAACCCGUGCGCCGAAUGAUCAAGGGUUCCAGGGUCAAGCUCAUCUGCCCUGGGUAAGUCGGGACCUAAGGCGAGGCCGACAGGCGUAGUCGAUGGACAACGGGUUGAUAUUCCCGUACCGGCAAAGUGACGCCCAUGACGAACCCGGUGAUGCUAACCA